AAGGAAUAUUGCUCAAUGGGAGAAAUCCUGAAGCAGCAACGCCGCGUGGAGGAUGAAGGGUCUAUGACUUGUAAACUCCUGUAAAGAAGGAAAAAAUUCCCAUUUGAUGGGAGAUGAUGGUACUUCUGAAGUAAGCCCCGGCUAACUACGUGCCAGCAGCCGCGGUAAUACGUAGGGGGCAAGCGUUGUCCGGAUUUACUGGGUGUAAAGGGUGCUCAGGCGGAUUUGUAAGUCAGAGGUGAAAUCUUACAGCUUAACUGUGAAACUGCCUUUGAUACUGCAAGCCUAGAGUAUGGAAGAGAGUGAUGGAAUAUCUGGUGUAGCAGUGAAAUGCGUAGAUAUCAGAUAGAACACCAAUGGCGAAGGCAGUCACUUGGUCCAUUACUGACGCUAAAGCACGAAAGCGUGGGUAGCAAACA
Molecule: ribosomal RNA, 419 nt
Filed under: uncultured bacterium
Lineage: Bacteria
Description: bacterial SSU rRNA
Rfam family: Bacterial small subunit ribosomal RNA
Source: RNAcentral